RNAcentral lists this long non-coding RNA (4910 nucleotides) under Sus scrofa (pig). RNAcentral's name for it is "lncRNA (ENSSSCG00025042275.1)". The record is from RNAcentral. Lineage: Eukaryota; Metazoa; Chordata; Mammalia; Artiodactyla; Suidae.
UUGCUCAUAAAGUCACUAUGUCUUAAGCCGAAUCAUGGGAGUAACGGCAUCUUUUUAAACACUUUAAAAAGUUGGCAGUGUUGGCUUAAAGUACUAUUUAAAAAUUCACUUUGAAAAUGGCAUUUUUUGGGGGGGAGAACUGUAACUGUCAGUUUGAAGGAUGGGAUUUUUUCCAGCAGCGCUUGUAAAAAUAUCCAUUGCCAUAUGUGAGGCAGGUUUCGUUUUCGUAGUUUAUCAUAAAUAGAUGAGUUUGUCAAAUACACACACAUAUACAUACACGCACCCAUUUUUUGGCUCAGCGAAGAAAUUCCAAGGCCAUAGAUAAAGAAAUACUGAGCAUUUUAACAACACAUCUCACAGAUAAGCAGACAUUUUAUUAAUACACAUCCUAAGAGGAAACAGUUUAAGAACAGGGAUUAAUUAUACAUGGGGCAGAGAUAGCUGGUAGGUUAUCAAGAUGAGUGGACUUGGGUGGAGUUGGGGACCUGGGGAAGUGGCGGAGGAGAACGGCACUCGGAAAGGUCUGACUCAUCCUUUGUCCCACUGCUGACUUAUACAAGGAACGUUAUCUUCAGGAACAGCAAUUCCACUUGGCCAAAACUGUCAUCGUAGCUACGGUUUCAGGGUGGCCCAGAGAGUGAACGCCUCUGAAGUGGAUGUGCGGUGCGUAAAUCAUCCAGAAGGUCGUAUGCUUCGGUUAGCAGCAGCCUGUUUAUCUGUCAGUGGUGUCUGGAGUGAGAACAGCAAGAGGCUGAAGCAUCUCUCUAUUCACGUAGUUUGGAGGAACUCUCUGAGUUUGUCAUGUUGCUCGUUUGGUCUCGCAGCAUCAUAUCCUCUGCAUCGUCAGACUGGUAAUGUGGCAGCCAAAGGCUUUAAGAACAUGGGUUCUGAUGGGUCAGGUGGAAAUUGAAUCAUAUUUUAUCACCUGCCCUUGAAGCACAUAGUGUCGCUUUUACUAAGCUCAUUCAGGUUGAAGAAGAGAGAAUUUAGACCCUACCUGUCAAUGGGAUGUAAGAAGAGCCUCUAGGAUGGAAAGUACUGCUGUGGCCAUUUUUGGAAAGUAAAAUCUACCAGGCUUCUUUGUAUCCAGUCUUUGAAGGUUAACUGCAGAAUUUAUGGAUAUAGGUAUUGAUGUUAGAAAUAUAGAUAGAACCUUUUAGGUUAAAAAAAAGCCUUGACCUUAACAUCCUUGCUUUCAUCUUCAAAUUUCACCCUUUAAACAUGCAAUGAAUUUCUAGUUAUAGCAUUUAAUGGGGAUCUAAAUUUCAUGUUUUUCUCUCAGCUAAGCCAAAAUUAGGGUUGUGGGUGGCACAUGAUUUAAGUUGUAUCAAGUUCUUAGCCAUGCAGAGUUUAUGAAUAGUAAAAGUUUUAACUGGCCAGCUAUUGAAGAAACCUUGUGUUUUUGUAAGGAAAGAAGGAAAAUGUUUCCUAAAAAUAGGUGAAAUUACAUUUCUUCCUAUAAUCCAGCUCUGCAUAAGAACUGACAGUUGUCUGAGAGAGUCUUAAAAUUAAUCUUUUGAAUACCAAGAACCAUAGGUUGAACUUCACAGAUAUGAGCAGUGAGAACUUGCCUAAAGGCAGAGAGCUGCUAGCAUCUCUUUUCUUCAUGGCCACAUCAGCUUCGUCUUCUGUCAACUACAUCUCGGAGCCACGUGAGCUUUGGAAAAUUUUUAGCUUUCGGAUGUUUAGUCUGCAUAGGCUGGACCCUGUUCACUGCAUCUUAUUACUUCAGUUUCCCCCUCUGCUGUCAGCAGCGCUGCUAUCCAGCUAGCUUUUGUAGAAGCACCAGGCUUUCAGCAGCUUUAUAAGCCAAAGACCAGAAAGCUGCUACCUGUGUAAAACACAGCUAUGUCUUCACAGGGCUGUCAAGGACCAGGUUCCACUGAGCCCUCUUCAGCAGAUCAGAGGUGGUAUAUGAUGAGUUAAAAAUACAAUCGUAGAUCAUUACAGUUUAUUGCAAUUACUGUACCUAAGAAAGUACCACUUUUUAGCAAUCAGCCUGGCCUGUUAACAGUGAAAAUUCUCUCAUCAUACGGUUGAAGGCAACAUAACUUAGUGAAUUAUUAACUGUAAUUUAGAUGAUCUUUUAAAGUACAUGCAAAGUGUGGUUAUGAUAUAAUAAAUACUAAUGUGGGAUUUCAUAGUCAUAAUUUUGCCUCUCAACAGUUCACCCUUAGGUAAAUUUCUCUGUGAUAAAAUCUGAAUUCCAGCAAGGAGCCUAGUGAAACUGGCAGUAGAUUUGUUCAUUUAAUGAUUUUUAGCAAACUGAUUUUUAAGAAUAUUCAAUUGUUUUUCAAACCAAAGAAGUUCAAUCAUUAGGUAUACAGUAAAUCUACAGAAGUGACAAAUGAUGGGAGUUGCCGUUGUGGUUCAGUGAAUUAUGAACCCAACUAGUAUCCAUGAGGAUGCGGGUUUGAUCCCUGGCUUUGCUCAGUGGGUUAAGGAUCUGACAAUGCCUUGAGCUGCAGUGAAGUUUGCAGAUGUGGCUCAGGUCUGGCAUUGCUGUGGCUGUGGUGUAGGCCAGCAGCUGUAGCUCUGAUUGGAUCCCUAGCCUGCGAACUUCCAUAUGCUGCAGGUAUGGCCCUGAAAAGCAGGAAAAAAAAAAAAAAAAUGUAAAAUACGAUGACGGCAUUGAAGACUGGAUCAUAAAGUAACAUAAAAUUAUUUAAUAUGAGUAGACAAUUGGAAUGUCGGGUUUUGAUAAAUGUUUUCAGCUCAUUUCAAUUUAAUUCAUUUAGCAUCUUAAUUGUAUAACUAAAGGUAGUAACACUUUAUUUAGUGUUAUUAUCCAUGAAAACUGAACUCGUUCAUUUUAAGUAGGAAUUUAAAUGUCAUAUUUAUUCAUUUUCUACCCCAAUUCUAAAAGUUAUUUUUCCUAAGGUUAGUAACUCAUUGAUUAGCAUAGUAAUUGUAUUAAGUUGAUGUGUUUGCCAUUAUGCAUGUUCAUAUAAGCCAAAUGUUACUUAUUUUUCUUUCCUUGGGCCACCCCAAGGCCUACGGAUUUCCCAGACCAGGGAUCAGAGUCAAGCCCACAAUUGUGACCUACAUGGCAGCGGAGGCAACAUCACCCCCUUGAACCUACUGUGCUGGAUGGGGACGGAACCUGCAUCCUGAUUCUGCAGAGAUGCUGCCAAUCCUGUUGCACCACAGUGGGAACUCCCCAAAAUGUAUUAAUAAUUUUAAAACAUUCUUUUUAGGCCUUUAUAUCUUUUGCUCACCUCCCUUCCCACCUACCUUCCACACAGUUUUACAGAUUUUAUCAUUGCCACCCUGCUUCUGAGAACUGCUCAGUGGUAUCUCAUUGCCAGGAAGAUAAUAAAAGCUAGAAAGACCAGGCCCUCUGCUGUGGGCUCCUUCCUCCCUCCUUGCCUUAUCUUUUGCCUCAUGCUUCUCUGCAGCCUCUGCGCCAUCCACAGAGACCCGCUUGUCACCUCCUGCACAGACGACAGGCUCUCUCACAGCUCUGCCUUUGCCUCUUUCUGGAAUGGAUCCCCCUGCCUUGCCUCUUCUUCUGAUUCCUGCUCACCCUGUUAAGGCUUAGUUCCUUGACCACCUUUCCUCUCCAGUGAAUUAGGCACUUAUAUUUUUUUCACCUGUGCAUAGCUCUUAUACUGUUUUUAGUACUGUGUGUUAUAGCUUUUGCCUAUGUGCUAUUUGGAGGCAGAGUUGUGUCUUUAGUUUUGUAUGGUAUAGAUACCUGACGUAUAUUAGAUAUUUGAAAUUGUUUACUGAAGGAAUGAGUGAUUCAAUGAAUUUAUGGCCCAUUUUAUUUUUCAUUUGAGUCUGCAGUCUUUUAUCGUCGAAUCCUCUGUCUUACCAGGCCACCCUUCUUGCAUGGAGCAUGGCAGUACCUCUCAUUGCACAUUUUUAGUAUUUCUCACUUAAAAAAAAAAUGUACCAAGGAAGAGAGCGUGGUAGGCAGGGCUUGGUAAUGUAUGUUUGCAGAAGCUUAUACCAGCAUUGUGCUGCUUGAAUGUGGUAUACCUUCAACAGUGGGAGUCUUAAUUACUCAUUAAGCAGGUGUUUGUAGAACCACCACAAAGAAUUGUCCUGUGAUUAUGCAAAACUGCAUAAAACAUAGCUCCUGAUUUUAAUUAAGGUGUUGUCUACCAGAAAAGAGAAAACAGAUACCUAAUACAAGUUGAGAAUAUGUGGGUUUUUAUAAAGGUACAGAAAAAAAAAAAUGCAAAGGCUGUUUUGAGAUAGAUGGGCUCAGCUGCCUUUAUCAGAUAGACCUUGGAGAAGGUUGAGUAGAAGUUUGUCAUUCCUUUUUACUCUGAAUUCCAUGACUGAUGGACCAUGUAGAAAAGCUGUCUAUUGCCUUGAAAUUCACAUAAAGAAUAAUUGAUGGUAGUACUGUGUUUAUAUAUGCAACUUUGAUAAAAUAUUAUUAGGGAUAGGGAGAUUAAGAAAUAUCCUAAAUUUAUUUUCUGUGGAAUGAUUGACUUUUUAAAUAAAGUUUCUUUAGGUAGUUAAUGUAUUUUAAUAUGCUAAGAGAGCUGGAGGAGAUGGUAUCACCUGCAGACCUCCUAGGACAAUAGAACCACAUGAUACAAGUCAGUUUUUUAGCAAAUUGGCUUGCUUGCCUGAAAUAGGACCAGGACUCGAUCGCUUUUGCUUUUUUUUAUUUUAAUUUAGGUACCUGAGUUUGUGGAUGAUCAUUAGCUGUUAAAAAACAAAUAAUUGAAGUAGACACUUAGAGUUGGAAAAUGAGACAUUUGACUACCAUUAGGAGACUUUUAUCUCUAUUAAAUGCAGUCCAAUAAAAGAUAUUGUGGUGUUUAUUUGAAGAAUAGAAAUACCAUCUGUACGUGAUACAUGUACCUAAAUAUAUAUAUAAAAUAUAUAUAUAUAUUUUAUAUAUAUAUAUAUUUUAUGGCCACAUCCAUGGCAUUUGGAAGUUUCCAGGG